AACCACUACCCCCAAGAGCCUCUUUUGCCUUUAGCUGAAGACGGUGUUUCAGGUGAGGGCUUCAGCCAUUUUGCUGUCACCUCUCCCGCCCCUGAUGAGGGAAGCCGAGACGAAGGGAGCCGUGCAGGUGUUCAUUCAGGGUGAAGCAGAAACCCCAAUAAAGGCCAUGGUCUAAGUUCUCCCCUGCUUCCUGUCUUCUGCCUCCUGACUCCCCUGGUGUUUCUCCAAGUGGCACUGGGUGCUGUGCUAUGUCUCCUGUUUCUAGGACCUGCAGCAUCUCCUGGGCAGUGAUGCUUCAUAGAUCGGCAACAUGUGGUUUCCAAGUUGGCUGUCCUUGCUGGAAGAGUUAACAUAGCAGCUUCUUCAACUUUCCUCUACUUUCUGCUCUUGGAGGCAACACUGGAGCCUCGGUCACUGUGUUUCUUGUAAUCUUGGGCAAGUCGCUUCACUUUGUCCAAUAGUAAAAUGAUGAGAUUGGACUAGAGGAAAUCACAGAUCUCAACCAGCUUUGACAAAUCUCCAGUCCAAGGACCAGGAUGUGCCAGCCUUUCAGCCACACUCCUUAAUGCGAUACCUAUGAAGAAUCUAGGAGCGUUUUCCAUUGCCAGGGUCUGAAAUCAGAAGACCUGGCUGACACCGACCUUUGAGUUGAUCCUGCUUGACAUUUUAAACCGAUUGGCCUGGAAUUUCCUGAUCUACACUAAUGAGGACCUGCUACGUGACACAAGUAGGAGGAAGCGGAGAGUGACAGUAACUGACACCCGAAACUCCAGGAAGAGGGCAGGUGUAAGAGCCCCUAGAGAUCCAGACACCCCAGUAAGAAGUAAGAGGACACGUGUAGCUCUACAGCCAAAACGGAGUCAUAUUUCUUGCUCUCAGAAACUGUUUCUAUGGAAACUCACUAGA
Molecule: long non-coding RNA, 906 nt
Organism: Eubalaena glacialis (North Atlantic right whale)
Lineage: Eukaryota; Metazoa; Chordata; Mammalia; Artiodactyla; Balaenidae
Exons: 8
Source: RefSeq, a predicted model, not a curated record